This 492-nucleotide ribosomal RNA is filed under the name uncultured bacterium. RNAcentral describes it as "bacterial SSU rRNA". It matches the Rfam family "Bacterial small subunit ribosomal RNA", at positions 29 to 517 of the family's 1533-position model. The record is from RNAcentral.
AUUGAACGCUGGCGGCGUGCCUAACACAUGCAAGUCGAGCGGCAGCGCGGGAGCAAUCCUGGCGGCGAGCGGCGGACGGGUGAGUAAUGCUUGGGAAUCUGCCUGUUAGUGGGGGACAACCCGGGGAAACUCGGGCUAAUACCGCAUACGCACUACGGUGGAAAGCCGGGGACCGCAAGGCCUGGCGCUAACAGAUGAGCCCAAGUCGGAUUAGCUAGUUGGUAGGGAACGGCCUACCAAGGCGACGAUCCGUAACUGGUCUGAGAGGACGACCAGUCACACCGGAACUGAGACACGGUCCGGACUCCUACGGGAGGCAGCAGUGGGGAAUAUUGGACAAUGGGGGAAACCCUGAUCCAGCGACGCCGCGUGGGUGAAGAAGGCCUGCGGGUUGUAAAGCCCUUUCAGUGGGGAAGAAAGCCUCGACCUAACACGUCGGGGUCUUGACGUAACCCAUAGAAGAAGCACCGGCUAACUCUGUGCCAGCAGCCG